RNAcentral lists this long non-coding RNA (823 nucleotides) under Mustela putorius furo (domestic ferret). RNAcentral's name for it is "lncRNA (ENSMPUG00000026188.1)". Lineage: Eukaryota; Metazoa; Chordata; Mammalia; Carnivora; Mustelidae. The record is from RNAcentral.
GCGCCUUAGAACACAGUGUGCCAGGCCUUGUAGGAGGUGGAUGGGGCGGCCUCUCCACAAGGAGAGCUCUGGUUCUCACACACAAGGUGACUGUUUCUGUUGGCAGCUGCUCCCAGGAGCCUCCAUGAACUGGAUCUCAGGACCGGGGGCAGAAACUCAUCCUUCUACUCAGGAAUGUGAAGACUUCCUUCAGGAGUUCGGACGGCUUCUAAGGUAAAUGAACAAAGGCCAGAAGUGUCUUUUGUGCAAUAAAAAUAUAAGGAAUGAAAUAACAAGUGGAGGCUAACCCUGACUGGCGAACGAAGCAGUCACAACACACACAGCUAUGAGAUGCCCCAAAUGCUGACAAGAACGGUUGUGAAGAUGGUCAACCUCUGAUGGCCUUCCUGGAAUCUCCUUAGAGAUAGCCCUCGAGAGAAAUCCCUACCAAGGAGACCCUUUCUUCCAGGUGUCUCCACUGGGAAAGCGAGCUGUGCAGAUAACUCAACAGAACCAAAGGCUAAAGGAAGACAAAAACGAAUUCCAGUAUUUUCUCUGAGUGUAAGGAAAAAAGACCCGAAGAAAAUCCUAUGGUCAAUGGACUAGGAAAGGAAGGAAACUCUGGCAUUCCAACUUAAAGGAACACAAGGUAAUGAUUAUACUCACAAUGAUGAGGACCACAUCGAAUUAUGAGAUAAAUUUAUUGUAAAAUACCAAGUGUAAGAGAAUAUGCCAUCCUAUUUCUGCUAUGACUGCUGUGAUUUCAGUGUAAAAUCACAUGUGCCUACGAUUGGGGAUGGAAAGGAAGACAGAAUGAAAGCGGUUGCAUCUUGGUGAGGUCACA